UACGUAGGGUGCGAGCGUUAAUCGGAAUUACUGGGCGUAAAGCGUGCGCAGGCGGUGAUGUAAGACAGAUGUGAAAUCCCCGGGCUCAACCUGGGACCUGCAUUUGUGACUGCAUCGCUAGAGUACGGCAGAGGGGAUGGAAUUCCGCGUGUAGCAGUGAAAUGCGUAGAUAUGCGGAGGAACACCGAUGGCGAAGGCAAUCCCUGGGCCUGUACUGACGCUCAUGCACGAAAGCG
Molecule: ribosomal RNA, 236 nt
Filed under: uncultured bacterium
Lineage: Bacteria
Description: partial 16S ribosomal RNA
Rfam family: Bacterial small subunit ribosomal RNA
Source: RNAcentral